Molecule: long non-coding RNA, 642 nt
Filed under: Phaseolus vulgaris (common bean)
Lineage: Eukaryota; Viridiplantae; Streptophyta; Magnoliopsida; Fabales; Fabaceae
Description: long non-coding RNA (PVUL_LNC004172)
Source: RNAcentral
UCACGUUUUUGGCCCCAGUCAGCUUCUGAACCUGCUUCGCAAUUUGCGUCAGGUGCUGGGACUCCAACUUCACCACCGAGGUCACCACCGCCAACUCCGUUUCGGUCAACUUGUUAUACACCAGGUCGAACUCCUUCGCUAUCUCAUUAAUGAGAUCGAUCCUCUGCGCGUCCACCAGGAUGUACAGGAAGUUUCUGGUGUGGGGUUGGAACCCCGAGGACUCCGCGAUCUCGUCCACCACCUGCCGCUUCUUCUCCACUUCCAGCGUGGGGUCCGCGAAGAAGUCCGACACCCGUGGGUCCGAGAACAGCUCGUCGAUUUUCUCGAUGUCGGAGGUGGUCGCGUCCAAAGUGUUGUUGGCGCUCGCCACGUCAGCCAGAGCCGACGCGUAGCUGGAGGCCGCCGUGGCGGACAUUCUUGCGCCCGCGGCGCCGUUGGAGCGGCGGGUGGCGGCGGCGAGCUUGAGCUUGAGGGCGGAGAAGGUGGAGCGGGGCAGGGAGACGGUGUGAGUGGGUUUCUGGGCGAGGGGCUUUCCGGGGAUUAGGACGUGUUUGGAUUGGAGGGAAGCUGUGGGAUGCUGCAAGGACGCCAUUUUUUGCGGUGAGUGAGGAAUGAAUGUGAUUGUGUUGUGAUAUUGUUUUU